UACUUUGUUCUUGAAAACUUUAGGAUGACUGGGUCUUUUUAUGUGGGAAUUAGAGCUUCAAAAACCUUGGUUUUUGGCGUAUUCCUCUCCCCAACACCUAUAUGUGUAGUUUUCUUUCCCCUCCCCUCCCCUCCCCUCCCUCCCUUCCCUUCCUCCCUCCCUUCCCUUCUUUCUUCCCUUCCCUUCCUUUCUUUGUUGCCUUUAUUCCUUCUUUCCAUCCCUCCCUUCUUUGUUCCUCUUCUCUUUUAGUAUUUAAACAUACAAUGCCAUGUUCUAGGCACUGUGCCAAGGGUGGGGUCAAAAAAUCACUCAUCUUUACAUUUACAGUAUUUCUCAAGUUCAUCUUCUAUGCCUGGCAUUGUACCAAGGACCCUGGGCACUAAGGAUGCAGCAGGAAAUGCAGCAGACUUCAUUUCUGCUCUUACAGGGCUUACAUUUGAGUGUUUUCUCUUCAAGAACCUGGACGUUUAGUCUAGGUUGUGUCUUCCGUGAGAAAGGCUGGCGUUGGGUAAGGCUGGAGAGACUGGAGCCAAGGACUCUGCAGGCCUUGAAGAUGCAAGCUGGUAUGAUGUGAACUGCCACAUGGCAGGGAACUGCAGGUACCCUCGAGGACGUGAGGACCUCAUUCUUACAUCUGCAAGAAACCAAAUUCUGCGGACAGCUAUGUGAACUUUAAAAGAAGACCUGGAACCUCCAGAAAGGAAUGCAGCCUGGCCAAUGUGCUGAUUGCAUCCUUGUGAGACUCUGAGCCAGAGGACCCAGCUAAACUCUGCCUGGACUCCUGACCCACGGAAACUAAACAGAUCUGAAGCCAAUCCCUGAGCCUCCUGGGCCAUACAC
RNAcentral lists this long non-coding RNA (840 nucleotides) under Homo sapiens (human). RNAcentral describes it as "HSALNT0370702". Lineage: Eukaryota; Metazoa; Chordata; Mammalia; Primates; Hominidae. The record is from RNAcentral.